CCUCCCCCCUCUCUCUCUCUCCACCCUCAGCCGCCACACUACCAUCCAUUCUCCUCUACUCUCCUCUCCUCUCCUCUCCUCUCCUCUCCGGCUUACUCCCCCCCUCACCGCUUACCGCGCCGCCUCCGUCUCUGCCGCUGCCAGGCUCGGGAGCGGCGGAUCUGCCGCCGACAGCGCCGGCAUCCGUCUCCGCCUCUUCACGGCGGCGUCUGAGCCGGGGCAGGUAUCCCUCCCAUUCCCUCACCUCCCCUCUCACCUCUCCUCUCUCGGCGCGGAUUCCGGCCGGAGCAGCUGCCGGAGGGCGGUGGCGGCGGCGGCUCCAGGCGGUUCCUGCGCGGAAGGUGGAGGCGGCGGCGGUGGCGGCUCCCCUCCCUCCUCCCAGAUCCGGUGGAGGCGGCGGCGGCUCCCCUCCCGCCCGUGUACCUCCCGCGCCAGCCCGCCGCGCCCCUGCUCCUCGCGCUCGACAUCGGCUCGCGGGUUUUCCUCGCUCUCUCACGCGCGAAGUAGUUCGGUCGUGGUGGAGGGAUGGACUCGUGGGUUUUUUUUCUUUUUGUUCGCAGGGACUCUGAUAAAGCUGGUGUACACGGCGAGCUGCGGUGGCGGAGGCGCGGAGCUGCGGUUUGCCAAGUUCGAGAGGCGGAGGCUGCAGGAGUGUUUUGACUUCGUCAGGGCGCAGGGUCUCGUCCCCCCUCACCGCUUCCCCAGUGUAGCAUCACCACCAUGGCGACGCAGCGGAGGCACGCGGCUGUGGCAUGGACACCUACUACCGCCGCCACCUCUCCGGGCAGCAGCCGGGAGUACAUGAAGGCCAAAUGCAGCAUGUAAUGCGCUGAUUUAAACACAUUAUAAAAGCUGUUCUGUAGGAGGAAAAUCAUUCUUGAAGAUUGAGUAUCAUGAAUUCCUACAUCUAGACAGUCUCGAUGUUAUAUAAAGAACUGUAUAAUUUGAUGAAUCGGAAGCAACAAGGAAGCAUAUGCCCUUUUGUCGUUUGAUUGGCCGCAACACUCAGGUCAAUGUGUGAACGGCUAUUUGGCAUUUGGCUGGAUUUGGUGGUCAGUGACUUGUACUAGUGAUGUAUUAUAUCUGGUCAGUGAACCUGUGAUGUAAUUGAACAUGCUUUGGAUAGUGAUUUGUGGAUGUAAUUAGCUGACUUGUCAUGUAACUGAUUUACGGAUAACCUGUGAUCUUUUUUUUUUCUGAAUUUAUGAUAGCCUGUUUUGUGAUUAUGUAUUAAAUGUGAGCUGAAUUUUGUUAAUUGGGCUAUAAGAUGUCAGAUUUAGAUUUUAA
This is a non-coding RNA of Oryza sativa Japonica Group (Japanese rice), 1287 nucleotides long. The record is from RefSeq and is a predicted model, not a curated record. NCBI's taxonomy places the organism in Eukaryota, Viridiplantae, Streptophyta, Magnoliopsida, Poales, Poaceae.